This 279-nucleotide ribosomal RNA is filed under the name uncultured bacterium. Its description in RNAcentral is "partial 16S ribosomal RNA". It matches the Rfam family "Bacterial small subunit ribosomal RNA", at positions 506 to 784 of the family's 1533-position model. The record is from RNAcentral.
UGCCAGCCGCCGCGGUAAUACGGAGGGUGCGAGCGUUAAUCGGAAUUACUGGGCGUAAAGGGCGCGUAGGUGGUUUUGUAAGUCGGAUGUGAAAGCCCCGGGCUUAACUUGGGAAUUGCAUUCGAAACUGCAGGGCUAGAGUAUGGUAGAGGGAAGUGGAAUUCCGGGUGUAGCGGUGAAAUGCGCAGAUAUCCGGAGGAACACCAGUGGCGAAGGCGACUUCCUGGACCAAUACUGACACUGAGGCGCGAAAGCGUGGGGAGCAAACAGGAUUAGAUA